This 450-nucleotide ribosomal RNA is filed under the name uncultured bacterium. RNAcentral describes it as "partial 16S ribosomal RNA". It matches the Rfam family "Bacterial small subunit ribosomal RNA", at positions 354 to 796 of the family's 1533-position model. The record is from RNAcentral.
GUGGGGAAUAUUGGACAAUGGGCGAAAGCCUGAUCCAGCCAUGCCGCGUGUGUGAAGAAGGUCUUCGGAUUGUAAAGCACUUUAAGUUGGGAGGAAGGGUAGUAACCUAAUACGUUGCUACUUUGACGUUACCGACAGAAUAAGCACCGGCUAACUUCGUGCCAGCAGCCGCGGUAAUACGAAGGGUGCAAGCGUUAAUCGGAAUUACUGGGCGUAAAGCGCGCGUAGGUGGUUCAGUAAGUUGGAAGUGAAAUCCCCGGGCUCAACCUGGGAACUGCUUUCCAAACUGCUGAGCUAGAGUACGGUAGAGGGUGGUGGAAUUUCCUGUGUAGCGGUGAAAUGCGUAGAUAUAGGAAGGAACACCAGUGGCGAAGGCGACCACCUGGACUGAUACUGACACUGAGGUGCGAAAGCGUGGGGAGCAAACAGGAUUAGAAACCCGAGUAGUCC